AGGCACUAGGUUCAGAGGAGGUGGGGGCUGGAGGGGCCCAUGAACAAGACAUUGGGAUGGAGGUUGGCCAUGCUGGGCCAUGGAGCUCCUAUCACCCUUUUCAUACUGAGCCCCCAAGCUUAGGAUGACAGUGACCAGCAAUCUGCCUUUCUCUGUGUAGAGGGGCAGCUGGGGCAGCUGCUGGGUCUCCAGAAAAAGUUGGCGCCCAGGAAUGGGGGCAGGAGGAACCUGCACGCUUGCCCAGAGCAUAAGACUCUCACUCUCCCGUUAACCAUUACCCCAUUGCUUCCACAACAGUGUCUUCAAGGAGGCGGGACUUGGGAGGGGGUAGGUGAGCUCCUUGGGAUGGACCUUGUCCCUCCUCUGAGCACUGGGUGGCUGAUCCAGCUAUGAAGGCAGCUGCAGGUAGGAGGCCGGGAAAAAUUCUCUGGAGGGGACCAGGGGCAGUCAGGGGACAAAUUUGGAGGGUGAGGGUUUGGGACCAGGACAUACUUAAUGUUGGAGCUUGAAGCCCUGAGGCAAAUAGAAGUUAGGAGAAGAGACGUGAGUUGAUAUGUCUGUCUUCCUGGUCUACACCACACCCUGUACAGAUAUGCUCAGAUUUAUGUGCCUAAGACUUAGAGGGAGGGGCGGGAAGGGGAGCACACAAUAUCCUGUGUGUGUGUCAGUGAGAAGCAAGACCCCUUUAAAGCAUAACCGAGUGGGGUCUGGGUUUGGGGGCUCCCCCGAGUCUUUUCAGUUUAUGACCAUGGAAGAGGCAUCGGGGGUGGGGGGGCAGGGGAAGACUGUACCUCUCCUCCUCUCACCCACUUCUUUGCGCAGUAGAUCUUCCAGACGCAGCCUCGUUAACUCCGAAGUUUAAGUUUAACCCAAAGCUGGGCAUUGAUAAUCCUGUCCUCUCCUUGGCGGAAGACCAAGACCCCUCUGGUAACCCCCUCCCCCUGGCAACCAUUCCCUUUCCCUGGAUACGCCACAGCUCCACACAGCCUCCCAUCUCCUUGGUAACCACUCACUCGGUCUCCCUCUGAUGACAGCCUUGGUUGGGAGUGACUGUGGAGAGAGGAGGGGCUGGGUGUUUCCUUCUGACAGUGUUCACCCUGCUGCCCAACACCUGACUGGGUGGAAGCACCCAGUGCCCUGUCAGGACUCAAGGUUUGCCAGUCACACGGUGGACCUGUGCUUGGGCCAUGCCGUCUCUCCUCCCCCUCCAGACCCCUGGAGCCUGGAGCGGCCUCACUUCUGUCUGCUGAGCAAAGAGGAGGGCAAGGGUUUUGGCUUCCACCUGCAGCAGGAGCGGGGCAGGGCUGGGCAUGUGGUGUGCAGGGUGGAGCCAGGCACCUCUGCCCAGCGCCAGGGUCUCCGGGAAGGAGACCGGAUCCUGGGGGUGAACAGUGAUGUCGUGGAACACGAAGACUAUGCGGUGGUGGUACGCCGCAUCCGGGCCAGCGGUCCUCGGGUGUUGCUGACAGUCUUGGCGGGGCAUGUGCAUGAUGUGGCCAGAGCUCAGCACGGCGACAGUGCCCACCUCUGCCCUACCCUAGGCCCCGGGGUGCGGCCCCGGCUCUGCCACAUAGUGAAAGAUGAGAGUGGCUUUGGCUUCAGUGUCACCCAUGGUAAUCAGGCUCCUUUCUGGUUGGUGCUAAGUACUGGAGGAGCAGCUGAGCGGGCAGGGGUGCCCCCUGGGGCCCGACUGCUGGAAGUGAAUGGGGUCAGUGUGGACAAGCUCACUUACAAACAACUCACCAGGAAGCUUUGGCAGAGUGGAGAGCAAGUGACCUUGCUGGUGGCAGGGCCAGAGGUGGAGGAACAGUGUCGCCAGCUGGGAAUGCCCCUGGCUGCACCCCUGGCAGAGGGCUGGGCACUGCCAACCAAGCCCCGCUGUCUGCACCUAGAGAAAGGGCCCCAGGGCUUUGGGUUCCUGCUCCGGGAGGAGAAGGGCCUUGAUGGUCACCCUGGGCAGUUCCUGCGGGAGGUGGACCCUGGACAGCCAGCCGAGAAGGCUGGGAUGCAGGCUGGGGACCGACUGGUGGCUGUGGCUGGGGAGAGCAUGGAAGGGCUAGGCCACGAGGAAACAGUGUCCAGGAUCCGGGCGCAGGGCUCCCAUGUCUCCCUGAUUGUCGUCGACCCUGAGGCUGACCGAUUCUUCAGCAUGGUUCGCCUGUCCCCACUCCUCUUUUUGGAGAGCACAAUGGCUCCUGCCUCUCCCCACGACACCUGCUCAGCCUCUCUGAUUGAGACUGCAGACCCACAACUUGCAGACACAGCUGAAUGUCCUGGCUCUCUGGGCUCCCACCAGUGCAUCCUGUACCCUGGGCCUGGCGGCAGCUAUGGCUUCCGACUCAGCUGUGUGGCCAUGGGGCCUCAUCUCUUCGUCUCCCAGGUGACUCCAGGUGGCUCAGCUGCCCGGGCAGGGCUGCAAGUGGGAGACGUGAUUCUGGAGGUGAACGGGGAUCCUGUGGGUGAAGAUUAUGACCUGGAAAGGCUUCAGCAGCUGGCUGAGGCCGAGCCACCCCUCUGCCUGAAGCUAGCAGCCAGGUCCCGGCAGGGCUGGGAAGCCUGGAUUCCCCCAGGCUCUGGAGAGGUGAGGGAGAAGAAACUGGUGCCACUCUGAGGAGCCAGAGAAGGCAGAGAGGAGCCAGAAAGAAGGAAGAGAGGGCAGGAAGGCUGCAGGGUGCAGUGUGGGAUACGCAGGUUGGGUCAUGGAUCAGGCUCUGGCCUCAGAACUGCUGUAAAGUGCCCCUGCUUGGCACAGUUCAACCCGCUGGCUUUCCUGUCUUCACUCUCCAGCCUGAGACGCUCUCUCCAAGCUAGAGGGCUGGAGCCCUAGGACUCAGACACCACCGGUCACAGUGUUGCCCAGGGCCUCCCUCCCUCCCCAUGACCUGCCUCCCAGAAGAGGGUGUGGUCAGAGGUCUCAGGCCCAUGAGGGAGCCCAGGACCCAAGAGAUGUCAUAAGGGAGCAUUGGAGAGCUAUGCCCCAAGGUGAAGUUGUGGGCUGUGGGGCAUGCUAGGAUUUUUUUUUUUUUUUUUUUUUUGCCUUUAGGCUGCAGCUUCCCCACCCUGACAGAGGAUUGUAGCCAUCUGGGCUUUGCCUUAUGUAUGACUCCAGGAUCUUUGAAUGCAAUGCAAGAAUUUGGAAACCAGCUAUACCUUCCCUCUGUAGGCAUUUUGGGAUUGUCAGGGUGGUGCCUGGUCACUGUUGAAUUUGUUAUAGAAACGGCCAUUCCCCAUAAA
Non-coding RNA from Microcebus murinus (gray mouse lemur), 3234 nucleotides. The record is from RefSeq and is a predicted model, not a curated record. NCBI's taxonomy places the organism in Eukaryota, Metazoa, Chordata, Mammalia, Primates, Cheirogaleidae.